This 72-nucleotide transfer RNA is filed under the name Camelus bactrianus (Bactrian camel). It matches the Rfam family "tRNA". Rfam says of the family: Transfer RNA (tRNA) molecules are approximately 80 nucleotides in length. Their secondary structure includes four short double-helical elements and three loops (D, anti-codon, and T loops). Lineage: Eukaryota; Metazoa; Chordata; Mammalia; Artiodactyla; Camelidae. RNAcentral also lists the same sequence under 3 other names. The record is from Rfam by way of RNAcentral.
GAGGGUAUAGCUCAGUGGUAGAGCGUUUUCUUAGCAUGCAUGAGGUCCUGGGUUCAAUCCCUAGCACCUCCA